This 497-nucleotide ribosomal RNA is filed under the name uncultured bacterium. RNAcentral's name for it is "partial 16S ribosomal RNA". It matches the Rfam family "Bacterial small subunit ribosomal RNA", at positions 28 to 507 of the family's 1533-position model. The record is from RNAcentral.
GAUGAACGCUGGCGGCGUGCCUAAUACAUGCAAGUCGAGCGAACAGAUGAGGAGCUUGCUCCUCUGACGUUAGCGGCGGACGGGUGAGUAACACGUGGAUAACCUACCUAUAAGACUGGUAUAACUUCGGGAAACCGGAGCUAAUACCGGAUAAUAUAUUGAACCGCAUGGUUCAAUAGUGAAAGACGGUUUUGCUGUCACUUCUAGAUGGAUCCGCGCCGCAUUAGCUAGUUGGUAAGGUAACGGCUUACCAAGGCAACGAUGCGUAGCCGACCUGAGAGGGUGAUCGGCGACACUGGAACUGAGACACGGUCAAGACUCCUACGGGAGGCAGCAGUAGGGAAUCUGCCGCAAUGGGCGAAAGCCUGACGGAGCAACGCCGCGUGAGUGAUGAAGGUCUUCGGAUCGUAAAACUCGGUUAUUAGGGAAGAACAAAUGUGUAAGUAACUAUGCACGUCUUGACGGUACCUAAUCAGAAAGCCACGGCUAACUACGUG